This 212-nucleotide unclassified non-coding RNA is filed under the name plant metagenome. RNAcentral describes it as "partial contains small subunit ribosomal RNA, internal transcribed spacer 1, and 5.8S ribosomal RNA". The record is from RNAcentral.
UCUCCGUAGGUGAACCUGCGGAGGGAUCACUACAGACUUGCAAAAGCUCUUAAACCACUGUUUAUCUACCUGAAUCUGCUUCGGCGGGUCGCCCCGGGGCGGGGGCGCAACCGCAAGGCGCCCGCCGAAGACCCCUAAAUUCUGUCGUCUUGAGAGUUCUUGGGGAUUAGAUUAAACAAAAAAAACUUUCAACAACGGAUCUCUUGGCUCUG